RNAcentral lists this ribosomal RNA (928 nucleotides) under Symbiodinium sp. CCMP2430. RNAcentral's name for it is "partial Bacterial small subunit ribosomal RNA". It matches the Rfam family "Bacterial small subunit ribosomal RNA", at positions 1 to 954 of the family's 1533-position model. Lineage: Eukaryota; Dinophyceae; Suessiales; Symbiodiniaceae. The record is from RNAcentral.
UUGAAGAGUUUGAUCAUGGCUCAGAUUGAACGCUGGCGGCAGGCCUAACACAUGCAAGUCGAACGGUAACAGGAUGUGCUUGCACAUCGCUGACGAGUGGCGGACGGGUGAGUAAUGCUUGGGAACUUGCCUUUGCGAGGGGGAUAACAGUUGGAAACGACUGCUAAUACCGCAUAAUGUCUUCGGACCAAACGGGGCUUCGGCUCCGGCGCAAAGAGAGGCCCAAGUGAGAUUAGCUAGUUGGUAAGGUAACGGCUUACCAAGGCGACGAUCUCUAGCUGUUCUGAGAGGAAGAUCAGCCACACUGGGACUGAGACACGGCCCAGACUCCUACGGGAGGCAGCAGUGGGGAAUCUUGGACAAUGGGCGAAAGCCUGAUCCAGCCAUGCCGCGUGAAUGAUGAAGGCCCUAGGGUUGUAAAAUUCUUUCAGCAGGGAAGAUAAUGACGGUACCUGCAGAAGAAGCCCCGGCUAACUCCGUGCCAGCAGCCGCGGUAAUACGGAGGGGGCUAGCGUUGUUCGGAAUUACUGGGCGUAAAGCGCGCGUAGGCGGACAUUUAAGUCAGGGGUGAAAUCCCGGGGCUCAACCCCGGAACUGCCCUUGAUACUGGGUGUCUUGAGUUCGAGAGAGGUGAGUGGAAUUCCGAGUGUAGAGGUGAAAUUCGUAGAUAUUCGGAGGAACACCAGUGGCGAAGGCGGCUCACUGGCUCGAUACUGACGCUGAGGUGCGAAAGUGUGGGGAGCAAACAGGAUUAGAUACCCUGGUAGUCCACACCGUAAACGCUGUCUACUAGCUGUGUGUGCCUUUAAGGCGUGCGUAGCGAAGCUAACGCGCUAAGUAGACCGCCUGGGGAGUACGGCCGCAAGGUUAAAACUCAAAUGAAUUGACGGGGGCCCGCACAAGCGGUGGAGCAUGUGGUUUAAUUCGA